RNAcentral lists this long non-coding RNA (825 nucleotides) under Oncorhynchus kisutch (coho salmon). RNAcentral's name for it is "lncRNA (ENSOKIG00005046352.1)". The record is from RNAcentral. Lineage: Eukaryota; Metazoa; Chordata; Actinopteri; Salmoniformes; Salmonidae.
UAGCUGUACUCUUUAGUCACUAUAAUGCUUUCUUCACCAAUAUUUUGUCCUUUUCUCCGACAGACAUAAAAUAAUCAAUACUCCUUAAACAGUCAUAAUAGAGAGCAGUCCUGAUGAUGAUCUGGUGAACCUGGAGGUUUUAGAUGAGGAGACCCUCAUCAAACACCUCUCGAAGAGAUAUUACGAGCUUCAGAUAUACACCCUUAUUGCUCUCAAUCCCUUUCAAACUCUAAGCAUCUACUCGGAACAGGUUAGUUUAUGACAGCAGUGUCAUUGUGUGUCAUAAUUCCUGUGAAUACCUCUGUAAAGACAGAACGGUAUUGAUAUUGUAAUAUGGUGUGUUUGCUCACAGUUCUCUAAGGUGGAGCGAGCCGACAGUCCUCCACACAUCUUUGCUGCUGCUGAUGCAGCAUACCAGGGCAUGAUGACCUUCUGCAAAGACCAGGCACCUUUGGAGAGAGUGGAGCUGGGAAGACAGUGCCCAUCUGAUUGUCCAGCAUCUCACCUGCAUGGGAAAGGUACUGUUUGUGUGCUAAAACCCCAUGAUUCAGUUUUUCACAUAUUCUACUACAUCAUGUUCACAAAUAUUGAACUAAGUUUUCCACCUUAAUGGAAUUCAUUAUUCAAUGGACAUAUUAAGACACCGAUAUAUUUAGUCCUACAUAUUUUGUUUGUAUUGUCUCUGCAGGGAGUUGUGUAAAAACAAUUGCUUUACUGUGAUCCCAGGCAAACCAUCGGGACUCUGCGAUAGAAGAUCCUCCAGGUGAAUCCCCUGGUGGAGGCAUUUGGGAACACGUGUACGGCCAUUAAUGACAAUUCCAGUCU